UCCUCUCUCAUCAUCAUCUAGGGUCCAGAAUUCAUUUUCCUUCUCACUUAUAUAGGAUUUGAUCUAGGGUCUAGAAUUCAAUUUUCUAUUGAUUAAUUUCAAAUGCAUCUCAUCAUCUAGGGUCCAGAAUUCAGGAUUUGAUCUAGAGUCUAGAAUUCAAUUUUCUACUGAGUAUUCCCUUUUCUCUCUCAUCGUGUAGGGUCUAGAAUUCAAUUUUCUUUCUCAGGCAAUUUUUUCUCUCACAUUGGACAAUUGAUUAAUUGUCUUCAAAUGCAUCUCUAUAUCUAACAAUUGAUUUUUUGAUUAAUUGUCAUCAAAUGCAUCUCUAUCUCUAACAAUUGAUUAAUUUUCUUCAAAUGCACAUUUAUAUCUAUUCUUAAUUUUCUUCAAAUUCAUCUCGAUCUCUAUCAACAGAAUUUGAUUGAUAAUACGAGAUGGUUU
This 441-nucleotide long non-coding RNA is filed under the name Actinidia chinensis (golden kiwifruit). RNAcentral describes it as "long non-coding RNA (ACHI_LNC000040)". Lineage: Eukaryota; Viridiplantae; Streptophyta; Magnoliopsida; Ericales; Actinidiaceae. The record is from RNAcentral.